RNAcentral lists this non-coding RNA (89 nucleotides) under Heterosigma akashiwo. Lineage: Eukaryota; Raphidophyceae; Chattonellales; Chattonellaceae. The record is from RNAcentral.
AGAAAGAAAAAUAAUGAUUAAAAACAAAACUACUCAUCAUCAUUUUUUAUUGAUAUUAUUAUCAAUUUUCAAUUGGUUUUUUUCAUUUU